This 449-nucleotide ribosomal RNA is filed under the name uncultured bacterium. RNAcentral's name for it is "bacterial SSU rRNA". It matches the Rfam family "Bacterial small subunit ribosomal RNA", at positions 54 to 507 of the family's 1533-position model. The record is from RNAcentral.
CAUGCAGUCGAGGGGUAUUGGUUUUCGGACCAAGAGACCGCGCACGGGUGCGUAACGCGUAUGCAAUCUACCUUUGCAGAGGGAUAGCCCAGAGAAAUUUGGAUUAAUACCUCAUAGUAUAGUACUUGGCAUCAAGGAACUAUUAAAGUCACAACGGCAAAAGAUGAGCAUGCGUCCCAUUAGCUAGUUGGUAAGGUAACGGCUUACCAAGGCUACGAUGGGUAGGGGUCCUGAGAGGGAGAUCCCCCCACACUGGUACUGAGACACGGACCAGACUCCUACGGGAGGCAGCAGUGAGGAAUAUUGGACAAUGGGCGCAAGCCUGAUCCAGCCAUGCCGCGUGCAGGAUGACGGUCCUAUGGAUUGUAAACUGCUUUUAUACAGGAAGAAACACUCCGACGUGUCGGAGCUUGACGGUACUGUAAGAAUAAGGAUCGGCUAACUCCGUG